This 468-nucleotide ribosomal RNA is filed under the name uncultured bacterium. Its description in RNAcentral is "partial 16S ribosomal RNA". It matches the Rfam family "Bacterial small subunit ribosomal RNA", at positions 28 to 507 of the family's 1533-position model. The record is from RNAcentral.
GACGAACGCUGGCGGCGUGCUUAACACAUGCGAGUCGAACGGAAAGGCCCUGCUUUUGUGGGGUGCUCGAGUGGCGAACGGGUGAGUAACACGUGAGUAACCUGCCCUUGACUUUGGGAUAACUUCAGGAAACUGGGGCUAAUACCGGAUAGGAGCUCCUGCUGCAUGGUGGGGGUUGGAAAGUUUCGGCGGUUGGGGAUGGACUCGCGGCUUAUCAGCUUGUUGGUGGGGUAGUGGCUUACCAAGGCUUUGACGGGUAGCCGGCCUGAGAGGGUGACCGGCCACAUUGGGACUGAGAUACGGCCAAGACUCCUCCGGGAGGCAGCAGUGGGGAAUAUUGCACAAUGGGCGGAAGCCUGAUGCAGCAACGCCGCGUGCGGGAUGACGGCCUUCGGGUUGUAAACCGCUUUCGCCUGUGACGAAGCGUGAGUGACGGUAAUGGGUAAAGAAGCACCGGCUAACUACGUG